Molecule: ribosomal RNA, 400 nt
Filed under: uncultured bacterium
Lineage: Bacteria
Description: bacterial SSU rRNA
Rfam family: Bacterial small subunit ribosomal RNA
Source: RNAcentral
UGGGGAAUAUUGGGCAAUGGGCGAAAGCCUGACCCAGCAACGCCGCGUGAAGGAAGAAGGUCUUCGGAUUGUAAACUUCUUUGAUCAGGGACGAAAGAAAUGACGGUACCUGAAGAACAAGCCACGGCUAACUACGUGCCAGCAGCCGCGGUAAUACGUAGGUGGCAAGCGUUAUCCGGAUUUACUGGGUGUAAAGGGCGUGUAGGCGGUUCUGCAAGUCAGAUGUGAAAUUCCCGGGCUUAACCCGGGCGCUGCAUCUGAAACUGCAGAACUUGAGUACUGGAGAGGAUAGUGGAAUUCCUAGUGUAGCGGUAAAAUGCGUAGAUAUUAGGAGGAACACCAGUGGCGAAGGCGGCUAUCUGGACAGUAACUGACGCUGAGGCGCGAAAGCGUGGGGAGC